UCUUUGAUUAGGUCCUUGUCUAUGUUCCUUGGAACAGGACGUCAUAGAGGGUGAGAAUCCCGUUUGGCGAGGAUACCUUUUCUCUGUAAGACUUUUUCGAAGAGUCGAGUUGUUUGGGAAUGCAGCUCAAAGUGGGUGGUAAAUUCCAUCUAAAGCUAAAUAUUGGCGAGAGACCGAUAGCGAACAAGUACAGUGAUGGAAAGAUGAAAAGAACUUUGAAAAGAGAGUGAAAAAGUACGUGAAAUUGUUGAAAGGGAAGGGCAUUUGAUCAGACAUGGUGUUUUUUGCAUGCACUCGCCUCUCGUGGGCUUGGGCCUCUCAAAAAUUUCACUGGGCCAACAUCAAUUCUGGCAGCAGGAUAAAUCAUUAAGAAUGUAGCUACUUCGGUAGUGUUAUAGCUUUUUGGAAUACUGUUAGCCGGGAUUGAGGACUGCGCUUCGGCAAGGAUGUUGGCAUAAUGGUUAAAUGCCGCCCGUCUUGAAACACGGACCA
Molecule: ribosomal RNA, 492 nt
Filed under: uncultured Hanseniaspora
Lineage: Eukaryota; Fungi; Ascomycota; Saccharomycetes; Saccharomycodales; Saccharomycodaceae
Description: LSU rRNA
Rfam family: Eukaryotic large subunit ribosomal RNA
Source: RNAcentral